CCCUUAGAUGUUCUGGGCCGCACGCGCGCUACAUUGAUGCAUUCAACGAGUUUCUUCCUGGUCCGAGAGGAAUGGGUAACCUUUUGAAAGUGCAUCGUGAUAGGGAUAGACUAUUGCAAUUAUUGGUCUUCAACGAGGAAUUCCUAGUAGACGUAGUUCAUCAGACUGCAUCGAUUACGUCCCUGCCCUUUGUACACACCGCCCGUCGCUCCUACCGAUUGAAUGCUCAGGUGAGCCAUUCGGACUUUCAUCAUGCUGGUUUCCAGUUUUGAUGAAGGAAAGUCUUGCGAACCUUAUCAUUUAGAGGAAGGAGAAGUCGUAACA
Molecule: ribosomal RNA, 324 nt
Filed under: uncultured eukaryote
Lineage: Eukaryota
Description: partial 18S ribosomal RNA
Rfam family: Eukaryotic small subunit ribosomal RNA
Source: RNAcentral